This 440-nucleotide ribosomal RNA is filed under the name uncultured bacterium. Its description in RNAcentral is "partial 16S ribosomal RNA". It matches the Rfam family "Bacterial small subunit ribosomal RNA", at positions 338 to 795 of the family's 1533-position model. The record is from RNAcentral.
CCUACGGGAGGCAGCAGUGGGGGAUAUUGCACAAUGGGGGAAACCCUGAUGCAGCGACGCCGCGUGAGUGAAGAAGUAUUUCGGUAUGUAAAGCUCUAUCAGCAGGGAAGAAAAUGACAGUACCUGACCAAGAAGCCCCGGCUAACUACGUGCCAGCAGCCGCGGUAAUACGUAGGGGGAAAGCGUUAUCCGGAUUUACUGGGUGUAAAGGGAGCGUAGACGGGUAUGUAAGUCUGGAGGGAAAGCCCGGGGCCCAACCCCGGGACUGCUUUGGAAACUAUGUAACUGGAGUUAGGGAGGGGCAGGCGGAAUUCCUUGUGUAGCGGUGAAAUGCGUAGAUAUCAGGAGGAACACCGACGGCGAAGGCGGCCUACUGGACUGAAACUGACGUUGAGGCUCGAAAGCGUGGGGAGCAAACAGGAUUAGAUACCCUAGUAGUC